This 315-nucleotide unclassified non-coding RNA is filed under the name uncultured Amaurodon. RNAcentral describes it as "sequence contains ITS2". The stretch from base 1 to 52 matches the Rfam family "5.8S ribosomal RNA", at positions 103 to 154 of the family's 154-position model. Lineage: Eukaryota; Fungi; Basidiomycota; Agaricomycetes; Thelephorales; Thelephoraceae. The record is from RNAcentral.
AACGCACCUUGCGCUCCUUGGUAUUCCGAGGAGCAUGCCUGUUUGAGUGUCAUGAAAUUCUCAACUGCACCGGGUUUCUUCGACCCGGCGUGAAGUUGGACUUGGAGGAUAACUGCUGGCGCACUCCCUCGGGAGAGCUUGUCGGCUCCUCUUGAAUGCAUGAGCUUUCCAGAUCGGUCAGCGACUCCGAUGUGAUAAAUAUCUACGUCGGUCGGUCCUUCCAAUCAAAGCUUCACCACCCGCUCGACGCCUCGUGCGCCCUGCGACUCUGACAAAUUCGACCUCAAAUCAGGUAGGACUACCCGCUGAACUUAA